GCCGGGUGUGGUGGUGCGCACCUGUAAUCCCAGCUACUUGGGAGGCUGAGGCACAAGAAUCGAUUGAACCCGGGAGGCGGAAGUUGCAGUGAGCUGAGAUCACACCACUGCACUUCAGCCUGGGUGACAGAGCAAGACUCUGCCUCAA
Molecule: unclassified non-coding RNA, 148 nt
Organism: Macaca fascicularis (crab-eating macaque)
Lineage: Eukaryota; Metazoa; Chordata; Mammalia; Primates; Cercopithecidae
Rfam family: Metazoan signal recognition particle RNA
About the family: The signal recognition particle (SRP) is a universally conserved ribonucleoprotein. It is involved in the co-translational targeting of proteins to membranes.
Source: Ensembl